AUUGAACGCUGGCGGCAGGCCUAACAAAUGCAAGUCGAACGAGUGGCGGACGGGUGAGUAAUGUCUGGGAAACUGCCUGAUGGAGGGGGCUAACUCCUGGAAACGGUAGCUAAUACCGAAUACCAACGAAAGUGCCCAGAUGGGAUUAGCUAGUAGGUGGGGUAAAGGCUCACCUAGGCGACGAUCCCUAGCUGGUCUGAGAGGAUGACCAUCCACACGGGAACUAAUACUCGGUCCAUACUCAUACGGGAGGCAGCAGCUGGGAAUAUUGCACAAUGUGCGCAAGCCUGAUGCAGCCAUCCCGCGUGUAUGAAUAAGGCCUUCGGGUUGUAAAGUACUUUCAGCGGGGAGGCGUUACCCGCUGAAGAAGCACCGGCUAACUCCUUGCCAGCAGCCGCGGUAAUUC
RNAcentral lists this ribosomal RNA (406 nucleotides) under uncultured bacterium. Its description in RNAcentral is "partial 16S ribosomal RNA". It matches the Rfam family "Bacterial small subunit ribosomal RNA", at positions 30 to 526 of the family's 1533-position model. The record is from RNAcentral.